GUCGAACGGCAGCAUAGGUGCUUGCACCUGAUGGCGAGUGGCGAACGGGUGAGUAAUACAUCGGAACGUGCCCAGUCGUGGGGGAUAACGUAGCGAAAGUUACGCUAAUACCGCAUACGAUCUACGGAUGAAAGCGGGGGACCGUAAGGCCUCGCGCGAUUGGAGCGGCCGAUGUUAGAUUAGGUAGUUGGUGGGGUAAAGGCUCACCAAGCCGACGAUCUAUAGCUGGUCUGAGAGGAUGAUCAGCCACACUGGGACUGAGACACGGCCCAGGCUCCUACGGGAGGCAGCAGUGGGGAAUUUUGGACAAUGGGCGCAAGCCUGAUCCAGCCAUUCCGCGUGCAGGACGAAGGCCUUCGGGUUGUAAACUGCUUUUGUACAGAACGAAAAGCUCUGGGUUAAUACCUCGGGGUCAUGACGGUACUGUAAGAAUAAGCACCGGCUAACUACGUGCCAGCAGCCGCGGUAAUACGUAGGGUGCGAGCGUUAAUCGGAAUUACUGGGCGUAAAGCGUGCGCAGGCGGUUAUGUAAGACAGAGGUGAAAUCCCCGGGCUCAACCUGGGAACUGCCUUUGUGACUGCAUAGCUAGAGUACGGUAGAGGGGGAUGGAAUUCCGCGUGUAGCAGUGAAAUGCGUAGAUAUGCGGAGGAACACCGAUGGCGAAGGCAAUCCCCUGGACCUGUACUGACGCUCAUGCACGAAAGCGUGGGGAGCAAACAGGAUUAGAUACCCUGGUAUCCACGCCCUAAACGAUGUCAAC
This 761-nucleotide ribosomal RNA is filed under the name uncultured bacterium. RNAcentral's name for it is "bacterial SSU rRNA". It matches the Rfam family "Bacterial small subunit ribosomal RNA", at positions 61 to 816 of the family's 1533-position model. The record is from RNAcentral.